GAUGAACGCUGGCGGCGUGCCUAAUACAUGCAAGUCGAGCGAACGGACGAGAAGCUUGCUUCUCUGAUGUUAGCGGCGGACGGGUGAGUAACACGUGGAUAACCUACCUAUAAGACUGGGAUAACUUCGGGAAACCGUAGCUAAUACCGGAUAAUAUUUUGAACCGCAUGGUUCAAAAGUGAAAGACGGUCUUGCUGUCACUUAUAGAUGGAUCCGCGCUGCAUUAGCUAGUUGGUAAGGUAACGGCUUACCAAGGCAACGAUGCAUAGCCGACCUGAGAGGGUUAGCGGCCACCCGGGAACUGGGCCGCGGCCCAGACUCCGACGGGAGGCAGCAGUAGGGAAUUUUCCGAAAGGGGCGAAAGCCUGACGGAGCAACGCCGCGUGAGUGAUGAAGGUUUUCGGAUCGAAAACCUCUUUUAUUGGGGAAAAACAUUUGUGUAAGUAACUUUGCAAAUCUUGACGGUCCCUAAUCAAAAACCCCCGGCGACCUCCG
Molecule: ribosomal RNA, 495 nt
Filed under: uncultured bacterium
Lineage: Bacteria
Description: partial 16S ribosomal RNA
Rfam family: Bacterial small subunit ribosomal RNA
Source: RNAcentral